RNAcentral lists this transfer RNA (69 nucleotides) under Linognathus africanus. Its description in RNAcentral is "tRNA-Met". Lineage: Eukaryota; Metazoa; Arthropoda; Insecta; Psocodea; Linognathidae. The record is from RNAcentral.
GGUAAGAUAGGCUAUAAACUAUAAGCCUCUAGACUCAUGCUCUAGAGAAAUGAGAAAUCAUUCUUUCCA